UAGGGGAUCUUCCACAAUGGACGAAAGUCUGAUGGAGCAACGCCGCGUGAGUGAAGAAGGUUUUCGGAUCGUAAAGCUCUGUUGUUGGUGAAGAAGGAUAGAGGCAGUAACUGGUCUUUAUUUGACGGUAAUCAACCAGAAAGUCACGGCUAAAUACGUGCCAG
This 164-nucleotide ribosomal RNA is filed under the name uncultured bacterium. Its description in RNAcentral is "partial 16S rRNA". It matches the Rfam family "Bacterial small subunit ribosomal RNA", at positions 355 to 511 of the family's 1533-position model. The record is from RNAcentral.